UGCAGCCACCACCAAACAGCCAUGGAGCCC
This 30-nucleotide non-coding RNA is filed under the name Homo sapiens (human). The record is from RNAcentral. Lineage: Eukaryota; Metazoa; Chordata; Mammalia; Primates; Hominidae.